This 765-nucleotide ribosomal RNA is filed under the name Clavibacter sp. Its description in RNAcentral is "bacterial SSU rRNA". It matches the Rfam family "Bacterial small subunit ribosomal RNA", at positions 95 to 872 of the family's 1533-position model. Lineage: Bacteria; Bacillati; Actinomycetota; Actinomycetes; Micrococcales; Microbacteriaceae. The record is from RNAcentral.
GUGGCGAACGGGUGAGUAACACGUGAGUAACCUGCCCCCGACUCUGGGAUAACUGCUAGAAAUGGUAGCUAAUACCGGAUAUGACGACUGGCCGCAUGGUCUGGUCGUGGAAAGAAUUUCGGUUGGGGAUGGACUCGCGGCCUAUCAGGUUGUUGGUGAGGUAAUGGCUCACCAAGCCUACGACGGGUAGCCGGCCUGAGAGGGUGACCGGCCACACUGGGACUGAGACACGGCCCAGACUCCUACGGGAGGCAGCAGUGGGGAAUAUUGCACAAUGGGCGCAAGCCUGAUGCAGCAACGCCGCGUGAGGGAUGACGGCCUUCGGGUUGUAAACCUCUUUUAGUAGGGAAGAAGCGAAAGUGACGGUACCUGCAGAAAAAGCACCGGCUAACUACGUGCCAGCAGCCGCGGUAAUACGUAGGGUGCAAGCGUUGUCCGGAAUUAUUGGGCGUAAAGAGCUCGUAGGCGGUUUGUCGCGUCUGCUGUGAAAUCCCGAGGCUCAACCUCGGGUCUGCAGUGGGUACGGGCAGACUAGAGUGCGGUAGGGGAGAUUGGAAUUCCUGGUGUAGCGGUGGAAUGCGCAGAUAUCAGGAGGAACACCGAUGGCGAAGGCAGAUCUCUGGGCCGUAACUGACGCUGAGGAGCGAAAGCAUGGGGAGCGAACAGGAUUAGAUACCCUGGUAGUCCAUGCCGUAAACGUUGGGAACUAGAUGUGGGGACCAUUCCACGGUCUCCGUGUCGCAGCUAACGCAUUAAGUUCCCCGC